Molecule: non-coding RNA, 45 nt
Filed under: Schistosoma margrebowiei
Lineage: Eukaryota; Metazoa; Platyhelminthes; Trematoda; Strigeidida; Schistosomatidae
Source: RNAcentral
AUUCAGCUGACAAGUACCAAAUAGGACGAAACAAGUGUCCUGGAU